Molecule: transfer RNA, 82 nt
Filed under: Microbacterium pseudoresistens
Lineage: Bacteria; Bacillati; Actinomycetota; Actinomycetes; Micrococcales; Microbacteriaceae
Description: Microbacterium sp. CC-005209 tRNA
Rfam family: tRNA
About the family: Transfer RNA (tRNA) molecules are approximately 80 nucleotides in length. Their secondary structure includes four short double-helical elements and three loops (D, anti-codon, and T loops).
Source: Rfam by way of RNAcentral
GGCGAGUUGCCCGAGCGGCCAAAGGGAGCUGACUGUAAAUCAGCCGUCAUCGACUUCACAGGUUCGAAUCCUGUACUCGCCA